This is a non-coding RNA of Peromyscus maniculatus bairdii (prairie deer mouse), 338 nucleotides long. The record is from RefSeq and is a predicted model, not a curated record. NCBI's taxonomy places the organism in Eukaryota, Metazoa, Chordata, Mammalia, Rodentia, Cricetidae.
GAACUCUGACCUUCAAGGCAUCACUGAUACUUAGUAAAGCUGAAUAUGUCAGACUGAGGACAUGAUAGAAUUUGAGAAAACGGACAGAUCUAAGAGAAAAUGCCUGCUGUGUGUUCAAGGGUAUUACCAAGGAGAUGAUGGCAGGAAAGCGUGAAAAACAAAGGGCGAGAGGAAGAAAUGAGAGAUUUUGAGGGAAUGAGGAAGAUGGAAAAUAAGAUACUCUGUUCUUGAUCCUUAACACGUAGCAUACCAGUUAGCAUUUUAUCUUUGUCUGAUAUGAACAUUGGAACCUCUCGUUUUUGUAAUUGAUUAAGUCUUCAAGAAUGAUAAUACCAUUA